RNAcentral lists this long non-coding RNA (1095 nucleotides) under Cyanistes caeruleus (blue tit). RNAcentral describes it as "lncRNA (ENSCCEG00000003481.1)". Lineage: Eukaryota; Metazoa; Chordata; Aves; Passeriformes; Paridae. The record is from RNAcentral.
UCCAAGGGACCCCCCGGAAAAGACGGAAUUCCAGGACACCCCGGGCAGAGAGGAGACGCCGUGAGUGACCCAAAAAUCCCAAAUUUCACCCAAAAUCCAGCCAAAAAAUUCCCAAAAAAUCUUCUUGGAAAAUCCCCAAAAUCCCUGAGUCCAAAAUAUCCCAAAAAUCCCAAAUUUUCACCCAAAAUCCAGCCCUAAAAUUCCCCAAAAUUCUUCUUGGAAUUCCCAAAUUUCCCCCCAAAAUUCCCAAUUUUCCCCCCAAAAUCCCCCCAAAAAAUCCCAAAAUCCCCCCCAAAAUUCCCAAAUUUCCCCUCAAAUCCCCCCAAAAAAUCCCAAAAUCCCCCCAAAAUUCCCAAAUUCCUCCUAAAAUUCCCAAAUUUCCCCCUAAAAUCCCCCAAAAUUCCCAAAUUUUCCCUCAAAUCCUCCCAAAAAAUCCCAAAAUCCCCCCAAAAUUCCCAAAUCCCCCCAAAAUACCCAAAAUCCCCACAAAAUUCAGUGAUUUCCCCUCAAAUCCCAAAAUCUUCCCAAAAUUCUCAAAUUUCCCCCUCAAAUCCCCCAAAAUUCCCAAAUUUCCCCUCAAAUCCCCCCAAAAAAUCCCAAAAUCCCCCCAAAAUUCCCAAAUUCCUCCUAAAAUUCCCAAAUUUCCCCCUAAAAUCCCCCAAAAUUCCCAAGUUUUCCCUCAANNNNNNNNNNNNNNNNNNNNAUUUUGGGGGAAUUUUGGGGAAAAUUUUUGGGGAAUUUUGGGGGAAUUUUGGGGGGAUUUUUUGGGAAUUUUUUGGGAAAUUUUUGGGGAAUUUUGGGGGAAUUUUGGGGAAAAUUUUUGGGGAAUUUUUGGGGAAUUUUUUGGGAAUUUUUUGGGAAUUUUUUGGGAAUUUUUUGGGAAUUUUUUGGGAAAUUUUUUGGGAAUUUUUGGGAAUUUCUCCCCCUCCAGGGCAGCCCCGGCCCCCAAGGCCCGAACGGAUUCCCCGGCCCCAAAGGGCCCCCCGGACCCCCCGGAAAAGACGGAAUUCCAGGACACCCCGGGCAGAGAGGAGACGCCGUGAGUGACCCAAAAAUCCCAAAUUUCACCCAAAAUCCAGCCCAAAAAUUCCCAAA